Molecule: ribosomal RNA, 301 nt
Filed under: uncultured bacterium
Lineage: Bacteria
Description: partial 16S ribosomal RNA
Rfam family: Bacterial small subunit ribosomal RNA
Source: RNAcentral
CAGCAGCCGCGGGAACACGAAGGGGGCUAGCGUUGUUCGGAUUUACUGGGCGUAAAGCGCACGUAGGCGGACUUUUAAGUCAGGGGUGAAAUCCCGGGGCUCAACCCCGGAACUGCCUUUGAUACUGGGAGUCUUGAGUUCGAGAGAGGUGAGUGGAAUUGCGAGUGUAGAGGUGAAAUUCGUAGAUAUUCGCAGGAACACCAGUGGCGAAGGCGGCCAUCUGGGACAACACUGACGCUGAGGCACGAAAGCGUGGGGAGCAAACAGGAUUAGAUACCCCAGUAGUCCCUGUCUCUUAUAC